RNAcentral lists this transfer RNA (66 nucleotides) under Ips nitidus. RNAcentral describes it as "tRNA-Ala". It matches the Rfam family "tRNA". Rfam says of the family: Transfer RNA (tRNA) molecules are approximately 80 nucleotides in length. Lineage: Eukaryota; Metazoa; Arthropoda; Insecta; Coleoptera; Curculionidae. The record is from RNAcentral.
AGGAUAAUAGUUUAAUUUUUAAAACAUUUAAUUUGCAUUUAAAAAACCUAAUUUUUAGUUAUCUUA